UGCAACAGGAUUCUGGGGAUAUUGCUGACCAUCUUUGGUCAUGGGGUAACCAGCUGGUGGUGGAGUCAAAUAGGAUCCUGGCGCAGUGGAUGGUGGUGGGUAUGCAUCUGAACCAUAUAUUCAACAAGUAAACCAAAUUAAUUGCUUUGCAUGAUUGGGAAAUCAUAAUUAGAUAUAUCAUGUGAAGAAGAGAACGUCCUGACCUGAUGGUUGAUUGAUCUGCUGCAGGUUUUGGCUCAUCUUGGAAUUUAGUAUGAACAAGAAGGAAAACAAAGAUGGAGUUUUCAAGAUUGUGAAGAAAUUAACUAAUAUCUGAGGAGCUGGAAAG
This 328-nucleotide long non-coding RNA is filed under the name Durio zibethinus. Its description in RNAcentral is "long non-coding RNA (DZIB_LNC000562)". Lineage: Eukaryota; Viridiplantae; Streptophyta; Magnoliopsida; Malvales; Malvaceae. The record is from RNAcentral.